UCUCGGAAGUAAUAAAGUGCGUUAACGCUUUGGAGUUAAGGUUGAAUUUAUUAUGUUCAGUUUAAAAAAUUCGCUUCGUUGCGCUUCGACUCUGCGCUAGUAUAAAUUGACCCUAAGUUAGUUAUCGCUUCGAUACUCGUCUUAGCCAGAACUGUAACAUACUGUACAUUGCGUGGGGUUGAGCAUUUAUGGAGUAAACUCGGUGUGGACAUUUGUUUCAAUUCUCUUUUUUUUUUAAUUUUACACGUCGAUGGACAAAGAAAAUUAUAAAUAUAAUUUAGUAUUAUUAGAAUCAUUUUCAAUUAGAAUCGAUAUCGAUUUGUGAUAAUAAAAUAGUAAAGAGACGUGGAUCGAGUGUGGCAGUCGCACUAUUUUGCAUUUGUACUUUGAACUGACGAAUAAUUGUAAGCGGUUGUAAAUAGUUCCGAUAUGCUCAUUCACAAACCGACGCAU
Long non-coding RNA from Aricia agestis (brown argus), 453 nucleotides. RefSeq lists it as uncharacterized. The transcript is spliced from 2 exons. Lineage: Eukaryota; Metazoa; Arthropoda; Insecta; Lepidoptera; Lycaenidae. The record is from RefSeq and is a predicted model, not a curated record.